CAUAGCCAGGACCAUGGAGAGAGACCAUUGCUGAGGAGGUGGGAAUGGCAAGUUCCUGGCCAAUCAGAUGAUCCUACAUGUACAUGACGAAGCUGCUCGUAAAGAUGCAAGUCUGAUGACAAACUCAGGAUGAUGAGGCCAUGUUCAAGCUGAACCCCAAUGCAAAGACGUCAAGUUCAAGCUGAAUGCCCAAGAGUUCAAACCUCCGAGAGCAAGCUUCUCUCCAGUGGUCACUGCCUCCUCCACACCUCUCCGAGACAAGGCGACUAUAGAGUCCUCAGCCUCUGCCCUACAAGAGCAAAAUAAUUCCGUUUCUGCGUGUGUCACCAAACUGGAGGUAAAAGUUUACGUAAGGACUUUGAGAAGGAGCAGAAAAAUGAGAAGUACCUCUCGCUAUUAGAGCAUACUAGGUAAAGGUCCUGUAAUUUACUUACUGUUAUUAUAACGUGUUAUGUUAGGUAAGAUCUUAGUGCAGCAUACUAGGUAAAGGUCAUCGUGUAGUGUUUUGUAAAACAGUCAUCAUAAUCCUUAGUUUUACCGUAUAGCGGCUCUUGGGCUAUCAGAAAUGUUCAUGGGUCAUGGGUUUUCUAAUAAUUAUUCACGUUUCAAUGUUAGGAAACCACACCCAUCAAUAGCUUUAUCCCAGUUUUAAUGUUCACGUUAGCUGCUCUGCCCUCGAAAAACCCGAAAUUUUGCACCUCACCUGCUACGGUACAUGCUAACACUGUAUAUCACUAUACAACCACUUGAAUGCAGAUAAAGCACAAUCACUCUCUUUAUUGCCUCCCAAGAAGUUAAGUAGCUAACUGUUCUCUGUUGCACUGGAUGAGUGCUGACUCGGCUCUGUUUAAGUCCAAGAGCAAGAAAUCAAAGUGGCUCGACUAAUAUGCGGCCAUUUUUCAGCCCGGCCAAGUGUUGAGGAGACAAGAAGAGGCACUGAGAAUGGAGGUAGAGGUACAGAGUACAUUAGCUGGAAAAUGCAUUUGUGUCAUACUUUGUAGAGUCCCUUAAAGUCAUUCAAGGUCAGCUAUAGUGUGUCCUAUUUGAAGGUGUGCAAUGUACAAUCAUGUACGACCCCCCCCCCCCACACACACACACACACACACCUUUAGGCCUACUAUGCUGCUAAGAAAGAGAGGGGCCUCACGUAAACUGGCCACUCAGUAUGACUAUGACCGUGUGACUCUUUAAACCCUCAGUUCCCGAGCCCCACCCCUCACUGUCUGACUCGGAAGGGAAGAAAGACUUUGGAUUCUGGGAGAAGGCGUUCACCCUACCCUUGAACAAGACCCCAACCAAGGACCUGAACUUAUUAUGAGACUGUUAAAUAUUAUUUUGUUGUUUUUGUACUAUUUUCUGGCAAUGUAAUUAUAUAUGUACCACUUCAUGUCAUCAUAAUAACUAUAGUUAUAUGUGAUAAAAUUCUGUUG
This is a long non-coding RNA of Halichondria panicea, 1430 nucleotides long. RefSeq lists it as uncharacterized. NCBI's taxonomy places the organism in Eukaryota, Metazoa, Porifera, Demospongiae, Suberitida, Halichondriidae. The transcript is spliced from 4 exons. The record is from RefSeq and is a predicted model, not a curated record.